CAGAUUGAACGCUGGCGGCAGGCCUAACACAUGCAAGUCGAGCGGCAGCACGGGUACUUGUACCUGGUGGCGAGCGGCGGACGGGUGAGUAAUGCCUAGGAAUCUGCCUGGUAGUGGGGGAUAACGCUCGGAAACGGACGCUAAUACCGCAUACGUCCUACGGGAGAAAGCAGGGGACCUUCGGGCCUUGCGCUAUCAGAUGAGCCUAGGUCGGAUUAGCUAGUUGGUGAGGUAAUGGCUCACCAAGGCGACGAUCCGUAACUGGUCUGAGAGGAUGAUCAGUCACACUGGAACUGAGACACGGUCCAGACUCCUACGGGAGGCAGCAGUGGGGAAUAUUGGACAAUGGGCGAAAGCCUGAUCCAGCCAUGCCGCGUGUGUGAAGAAGGUCUUCGGAUUGUAAAGCACUUUAAGUUGGGAGGAAGGGCAUUUACCUAAUACGUAAGUGUUUUGACGUUACCGACAGAAUAAGCACCGGCUAACUCUGUGCCAGCAGCCGCGGUAAUACAGAGGGUGCAAGCGUUAAUCGGAAUUACUGGGCGUAAAGCGCGCGUAGGUGGUUCGUUAAGUUGGAUGUGAAAUCCCCGGGCUCAACCCUGGGAACUGCAUUCAAAAC
RNAcentral lists this ribosomal RNA (616 nucleotides) under arctic soil bacterium S1TS11. Its description in RNAcentral is "bacterial SSU rRNA". It matches the Rfam family "Bacterial small subunit ribosomal RNA", at positions 25 to 633 of the family's 1533-position model. The record is from RNAcentral.